This 429-nucleotide ribosomal RNA is filed under the name Gemmatimonadota bacterium. Its description in RNAcentral is "Gemmatimonadetes bacterium partial 16S ribosomal RNA". It matches the Rfam family "Bacterial small subunit ribosomal RNA", at positions 355 to 776 of the family's 1533-position model. The record is from RNAcentral. Lineage: Bacteria; Pseudomonadati; Gemmatimonadota.
UAGGGAAUCUUCGGCAAUGGACGAAAGUCUGACCGAGCAACGCCGCGUGUGUGAAGAAGGUUUUCGGAUCGUAAAACUCUGUUGUUAGAGAAGAACAAGGACGUUAGUAACUGAACGUCCCCUGACGGUAUCUAACCAGAAAGCCACGGCUAACUACGUGCCAGCAGCCGCGGUAAUACGUAGGUGGCAAGCGUUGUCCGGAUUUAUUGGGCGUAAAGCGAGCGCAGGCGGUUUCUUAAGUCUGAUGUGAAAGCCCCCGGCUCAACCGGGGAGGGUCAUUGGAAACUGGGAGACUUGAGUGCAGAAGAGGAGAGUGGAAUUCCAUGUGUAGCGGUGAAAUGCGUAGAUAUAGGGAGGAACACCAGUGGCGAAGGCGGCUCUCUGGUCUGUAACUGACGCUGAGGCUCGAAAGCGUGGGGAGCAAACAGG